This 335-nucleotide ribosomal RNA is filed under the name uncultured bacterium. RNAcentral's name for it is "bacterial SSU rRNA". It matches the Rfam family "Bacterial small subunit ribosomal RNA", at positions 455 to 782 of the family's 1533-position model. The record is from RNAcentral.
GUAACUAUGCACGUCUUGACGGUACCUAAUCAGAAAGCCACGGCUAACUACGUGCCAGCAGCCGCGGUAAUACGUAGGUGGCAAGCGUUAUCCGGAAUUAUUGGGCGUAAAGCGCGCGUAGGCGGUUUUUAAGUACUGAUGUGAAAGACCCACCGGCGUCAACCGUACGGAGGGUCGAUUGGUAAACGUAGGAAAACGUUAAGUGUGCAGAAAGGAAGGAAAGGUAGGAAGUUACCUACUGUGUAGCGGUGAAAUAGCGUAGAGAUUUGGUAGGAACACCAGUGGCGAAGGCGACGCGGCCGAGUCGUGGAGGCAAGGCGACACAGGGGAGUAGG